RNAcentral lists this transfer RNA (73 nucleotides) under Brockia lithotrophica. It matches the Rfam family "tRNA". Rfam says of the family: Transfer RNA (tRNA) molecules are approximately 80 nucleotides in length. Their secondary structure includes four short double-helical elements and three loops (D, anti-codon, and T loops). Further hydrogen bonds mediate the characteristic L-shaped molecular structure. tRNAs have two regions of fundamental functional importance: the anti-codon, which is responsible for specific mRNA codon recognition, and the 3' end, to which the tRNAs corresponding amino acid is attached (by aminoacyl-tRNA synthetases). tRNAs cope with the degeneracy of the genetic code in two manners: having more than one tRNA (with a specific anti-codon) for a particular amino acid; and 'wobble' base-pairing, i.e. permitting non-standard base-pairing at the 3rd anti-codon position. Lineage: Bacteria; Bacillati; Bacillota; Bacilli; Thermicanales; Thermicanaceae. The record is from Rfam by way of RNAcentral.
GGGCCCUUAGCUCAGCGGUGAGAGCGGCUGACUCAUAAUCAGCGGGUCGCAGGUUCGAAUCCUGCAGGGCCCC